GACAGAGGGUGCAAACGUUGUUCGGAAUUACUGGGCGUAAAGCGUGUGUAGGCGGUCUCAUAAGUCGGGGGUGAAAGCCCAGGGCUCAACCCUGGAAGUGCACUCGAAACUGCGAGGCUUGAGUACCGGAGAGGUUGGUGGAAUUCUCGGUGUAGAGGUGAAAUUCGUAGAUAUCGAGAGGAACACCGGUGGCGAAGGCGGCCAACUGGACGAGUACUGACGCUGAGACACGAAAGCGUGGGGAGCAAACAGG
Molecule: ribosomal RNA, 253 nt
Filed under: uncultured bacterium
Lineage: Bacteria
Description: partial 16S ribosomal RNA
Rfam family: Bacterial small subunit ribosomal RNA
Source: RNAcentral